This 211-nucleotide long non-coding RNA is filed under the name Prunus persica (peach). Its description in RNAcentral is "long non-coding RNA (PPER_LNC007558)". Lineage: Eukaryota; Viridiplantae; Streptophyta; Magnoliopsida; Rosales; Rosaceae. The record is from RNAcentral.
ACGGGAUGAGCGAGCGGCGCGGCGCGGCGGAAGCGAAACACACAUUUCGUCACUCAAAGCACACUCGUGCAGCCCAGGAUCCCUUCGGAUCUCAGUCAGCCUUCUACCCUUUCAUGAUAUUCAUGACUCUCACAACUCCGCGAGAGGUUCACCUUCAAGUGUCGUCUCCCACUAGACAACGAGUCACAUUACCUUGUGACAAUACAAUCAC